RNAcentral lists this ribosomal RNA (41 nucleotides) under synthetic construct. The record is from RNAcentral.
CCGCCGUUAGUUGCCAGCGGUUCGGCCGGGCACUCUAACGG